GACGAACGCUGGCGGCGUGCCUAAUACAUGCAAGUCGAACGCUUUUUCUUUCACCGGAGCUUGCUCCACCGAAAGAAAAAGAGUGGCGAACGGGUGAGUAACACGUGGGUAACCUGCCCAUCAGAAGGGGAUAACACUUGGAAACAGGUGCUAAUACCGUAUAACACUAUUUUCCGCAUGGAAGAAAGUUGAAAGGCGCUUUUGCGUCACUGAUGGAUGGACCCGCGGUGCAUUAGCUAGUUGGUGAGGUAACGGCGCACCAAGGCAACGAUGCAGAGCCGACCUGAGUGGGUGAUCGGCCACCCGUGGACUGAGACCCGGCCCAGACUCCUACGGGAGGUAGCAGUAGGGAAUCUUCGGCAAUGGACGAAAGUCUGACCGAGCAACGCCGCGUGAGUGAAGAAGGUUUUCGGAUCGUAAAACUCUGUUGUUAGAGAAGAACAAGGAUGAGAGUAAAACGUUCAUCCCUUGACGGUAUCUAACCAGAAAGCCACGGCUAACUACGUGCCAGCCGCCGCAGUAA
RNAcentral lists this ribosomal RNA (523 nucleotides) under uncultured bacterium. RNAcentral describes it as "partial 16S ribosomal RNA". It matches the Rfam family "Bacterial small subunit ribosomal RNA", at positions 28 to 523 of the family's 1533-position model. The record is from RNAcentral.